This 638-nucleotide ribosomal RNA is filed under the name Streptomyces clavuligerus. Its description in RNAcentral is "bacterial SSU rRNA". It matches the Rfam family "Bacterial small subunit ribosomal RNA", at positions 804 to 1443 of the family's 1533-position model. The record is from RNAcentral. Lineage: Bacteria; Bacillati; Actinomycetota; Actinomycetes; Kitasatosporales; Streptomycetaceae.
AAACGAUGAGUGCUAAGUGUUAGAGGGUUUCCGCCCCUUUAGUGCUGCAGCAAACGCAUUAAGCACUCCGCCUGGGGAGUACGGCCGCAAGGCUGAAACUCAAAGGAAUUGACGGGGGCCCGCACAAGCGGUGGAGCAUGUGGUUUAAUUCGAAGCAACGCGAAGAACCUUACCAGGUCUUGACAUCCUCUGGACACUCCUAGAGAUAGGAUCCCCUUCGGGGGCAGAGUACAGGUGGUGCAUGGUUGUCGUCAGCUCGUGUCGUGAGAUGUUGGGUUAAGUCCCGCAACGAGCGCAACCCUUGAUCUUAGUUGCCAGCAUUAGUUGGGCACUCUAAGGUGACUGCCGGUGACAAACCGGAGGAAGGUGGGGAUGACGUCAAAUCAUCAUGCCCCUUAUGACCUGGGCUACACACGUGCUACAAUGGGUGGUACAAAGGCCCGCAAACCCGCGAGGUCGAGCCAAUCCCAUAAAACCACUCUCAGUUCGGAUUGUAGGCUGCAACUCGCCUACAUGAAGCUGGAAUCGCUAGUAAUCGCGGAUCAGCAUUGCCGCGGUGAAUACGUUCCCGGGCCUUGUACACACCGCCCGUCACACCACGAGAGUUUGUAACACCCGAAGUCGGUGGGGUAACCGUA